UGAAAGCAAGAGCUUAAAUUCCCGAUUAUGAAGUAGCAUCUCCAACUCGUCGUCAACGGAGCCCUGAGCUAAGACAGACCGAGUAAGAACUGGACAUUCAUUAAAGCCCUCCGUAUUAGGCGACAUUGACAAGGAGAAGCUCUAGUGCAGCGACGAACGCAACCACUAAUCACGCAACAAGAUCACAGGAACGCGUCCCUCGGCCGUAACCGCUAGAUGACCGAACGAAGCGCGCUCGAGUCCUCGAAAGAGGCGGAGCUAAGUACAGAGACGCGCUAGCGAUGGAGGUGACACGAGCUCGUGAUGGUGGCGGCCGCGAGCUCGACGUCGCCGACGAUCGCGCUGAAUCGGCGCCGGCGACGGUGUCGUGAGCUCGUGAUCGCGGCGAUCCCUAGACGACGAAGAGCUAGAGACGCACCUGACGAGAGAGAGAGAGAGAGAGACGACCGAGCGGUUUGGCUUCGGUGACACGGCGAUCGGAGUGGGGGAGAGAGAGAGAGAGAGAGAGAGAGGUGGAGGCGAGUGGGGAGUGGAGCUGGAGCGGACGAUGGGAGGAUCGGACGUCAGGAACUUGAUUAACGUUGGGCGCCAAAGAGCCGCCGAUUUCC
Molecule: long non-coding RNA, 608 nt
Filed under: Eucalyptus grandis
Lineage: Eukaryota; Viridiplantae; Streptophyta; Magnoliopsida; Myrtales; Myrtaceae
Description: long non-coding RNA (EGRA_LNC007001)
Source: RNAcentral